RNAcentral lists this transfer RNA (56 nucleotides) under Convolvulus floridus. RNAcentral's name for it is "partial tRNA-His". It matches the Rfam family "tRNA", at positions 1 to 51 of the family's 71-position model. From Rfam's summary of the family: Transfer RNA (tRNA) molecules are approximately 80 nucleotides in length. Their secondary structure includes four short double-helical elements and three loops (D, anti-codon, and T loops). The record is from RNAcentral. Lineage: Eukaryota; Viridiplantae; Streptophyta; Magnoliopsida; Solanales; Convolvulaceae.
GGGCGGAUGUAGCCAAGUGGAUUAAGGCGGUGGAUUGUGAAUCCACCAUGCGCGAG